This 79-nucleotide transfer RNA is filed under the name Marinilabiliales bacterium. RNAcentral's name for it is "tRNA-OTHER". Lineage: Bacteria; Pseudomonadati; Bacteroidota; Bacteroidia; Marinilabiliales. The record is from RNAcentral.
AAUUGAUUAGCUCAGCAGGUAGAACAUCCCGACUUUGAAGUCGGGAGGGUCCGGAGUUCGAGCCUCCGAUCAAUCACCG